Molecule: long non-coding RNA, 1223 nt
Organism: Musa acuminata AAA Group (dessert banana)
Lineage: Eukaryota; Viridiplantae; Streptophyta; Magnoliopsida; Zingiberales; Musaceae
Exons: 3
Source: RefSeq, a predicted model, not a curated record
UUGUGGAAGAGCGAGGACUCGAAGAGGGAGGACCGGCGGGAGUGAUCUGAUUCGGCGGAGCAGAAACCAAAUGGGAGUGAUCUGAUUCGUCGGAGCAGAAACCAAAAUCUUAAUCUCCAUUCUCAAGAACUCUCCUCCUAGGGUUUUACAAUGCUUCUCCUCCCCACUUUUCUCCGCCCCCUUCCCGAUUUUCCGUUGCGGGAUCUCACUAGGACGUGGAUCCAAACCAUCCUCAAGGAUCGAUCCGCCUCCUUCCGAUGUUUCUUCCAUUGCUCGUGAAUUGUUGAUGAAGGGUAAAAUUCAGAAGUCGUCUCUUGCUAUCUGCAUCUUUAUGGCAUAACCGAUGUCUGGAGCUUUCGUUGUAGGCGAUGGGUGUGAUAUGCAUUUCCUCAGCUCCAUGAAGGUCACAAAUUAAGCAGAUUUCAGUUCUGUGAGGACAUUUCUAUGGAAUUCUUCAUGGGCAUCAGAUAGAAUAGCAGGAACUGCAGCCUGUUCCAAGAUUUCACAGGUGUAAUGAUGGGUACUGAGCUUGCUAUAACAUGUUUGAUGAAAUGAUCAGUGAGAAGCUGCUCCCGCGUUAACAGUCAAGAGCAUCUCAGUUGCCAUCCUUACCUGUCCCAGUGACAGGGAACCAAAGGACAAAGAGGUCAGCGACGCAGUGUGUAACUCUGGGAUUAAUCUCAAGUGUUUGAAUCCCUUACGUGCAUCAGAAUCCCACAGGGAUCGCACAUGGCUACCCAUCCGAGACGCCAACCGCUUCGACAGUGAUCCGAUGGUGAUAACCGGCGACAGGUGAGCGAACGAGGCCAUGGGAACGAAACCUGCUUCCGCCAAAGACGAAAGCUCGUACGUUCUCGCCGGCGUGGUGAAGAUCUGAUGUGCCAUCAGCAUCUGAUGAUGUUACAGCCUUUGGAUCACGUUAUAGUAUAUACAUAGUCUACAGUGUUAUGAGCUAAUUACAAAUUAUCUAAUUAAUCAGACCUUGUUAACAUCCUGAUUUUUAAAAUUAAAAAAUUUAUAUUGUAAUCUUUAAAAUAUCUAAUUUUAUUUAUCCUAAUGUUGUCAAUUAUAUAAUGAAAAUAAAGGAUACAAAGAUAAUCUUAACGUUUUAGUUGAUGAUGAUAGACGAUAUUGGUGGCGAACGAUGAUAUCGUUGGAGAUUGCGGGUGGCUAUUAUGGAUGAGGAGAGUGAUGGUGAAAGAUGAGGGCCACUUUGUAUUUGC